GGGUGGGGUGGGGGUGGGGGGGUCAAAGGGGGACCGGGAAGUAAUUCCAUGUAGAACAGCCACUGCACCUGUGUCACAACUCCUGCCGAUACUCCAAAGCUGAAAACGUUGUGUUCAGAUUGCUGGGCUGAAAAGGGUUGUAAAUCUCUAGCUGGGCCUCAUUUUAUUCCUAAUGAACAACACAAGACAGAGUGCACAAGUCCACAUACUGUUGCUACUCCUACAUUAGCCAAAUUGUAAAUAUUUUUUUAUUUCAACAGAAAUCUUUCGCCAUAGGACUCUUGGAUCGGCCGAUAGAUCACCUUUGUUAAAGUAUCUUAACUUAGCUAAAUGCUGUAAUAAAAUACAAAAACAUUCUAAUGUUUGAGUCAAUCUGAACUACCGACUAUUGCCGUAACAAAACUUUAGCUCUGUGUUCUAGUGGAGUACGAGGCAGCUGCUGCGCUGUCAGGCAAGACGUAUGGUAGAUCCAUCAUGUCCUGAGUUGUCUAACAGAGUCCCUUAUUGACUGAACAGAAUCCCCAGAGAGCUCUGAAAAUCAAUCAGGCUUUGAUUGGAUGGUUACUGCCUGCCAUGCCUCUGUGUGUGACACCUCUGUAUGAGUUUGCGACGUGUGUGUGUGUGUGUGUGUGUGUGUGUGUGUGUGUGUGUGUGUGUGUGUGUGUGUGUGUGUGGCCUGUCAUGUACUACAAAUGACAUAUUGUUUUUACACCAGUAUAUUAAUCAUCUUGUAUCGAAUGAGGAGACUCUUGUGCGGCGCCUUGUGGCCUCUCUUAUGUGUAAAAUAGUCAUGUGACAAUAUUUAUUUUAAACCCUUUAUCCCAGAUCAGCGUAAUACUGCACGGCGUUGUGGGAAUUUUACAGCAUUUGUGCCGCUAUGCUUAGUAGUAAUACUGCCGCAAAGUCGGACUUGUGAAUGUAUAUCAUGCUUUGGCGCAAAAGGAGGAGGUGCCGUGAUCACAUGGGGAGUUACUGCUGAGGUCCAGCCAGCAACUAAAUUAAAAAAGCAAAGUAAACACAAGCAGUAACUUUCACUUUUGUUAACAGAACCAGCUGAGGUGAUAAACUGGAGCGAUGCAGUGCCACUCUUCAUCAGAGCAGGUGUUUUUGUCUAAAUUAAACGGAAGUCUGUGACAGUGCAGAGAUCGCCCCCAUACCCCCUUUAUACCGCCACGGCGUACUGUUUUGUAAAAAAUACAGGAUUGCGCCACAUUACCGCCACGGUCUAACCCCUUGUAAAUGACCUAAGGCGCCCAGAUGCCAACUCGCCGUUGCGGCAAAUUGGCGACAUUAUUUUCUAAAAAAGGCUUUCAUUGAUGUUUAUGUCAGGGUUUGGAUUUUGGGGGAGCUAAGGGGAGCCUGGCUCCCCUGAAAGUGUUACAGGCUCCCCUAGAAGCCCUCAACUUACACAGAGGAUCCAGUUUCAACCUAUAUUAUGGUAUUUAUGUGGACGCUCGGUGUAUCGAGAGUUCUUUUGAGUGGAGAAGAUGGAGAACGCUGAUUGUACAUCCAGCGCACGGCCACAGUAACAAAGUGGUCGCCACCAAAAUAUGUUAGCACACGAUCGCUCAUGUCCGCUCAUUCUCUGGUACUUUGUCGUUUAUCUAUGCAUGACGCGCUGGGCUGCUGCGGAGCUCAGAACCCGUGCUCUGGCGUUGCCGCAAAAUGCGCACUCUGAGGGUCGAGGCAAAAUAGACCCCCUUCCCAGUCUCACAGGGCUUCCCCAAAAAAGCCACUGUGUACUGGUUGAUGUUCACCUCUAAAUCGCAUGAAACUACAGUCAGACCUAGUUUUGCGUAACCUCCUCCCGGGACCUGGUGUGCUAUCCUGGAGCCACACAGGCACACUUCCAGCCCUCACUACAGCUCCCUCCAUGCUCCCAUUUUGUGUGUCAGUGAGUGUGGCUUGUGUUACUGUAUCUUCAGGACUUGCAUCGUCUUCAGAGACUGUAGCUAUCACUCUGGCGAUACAAUGCUUGGUGCAUUGAGGUGAUUUAUAUCCGUUGUGACUGGUUACCUCUCUUAGAACCCCCGGGCCACUGUCAGAUAGCCCCUGACCCAGCUUCAGCUCCCUUCCCCUGGGCAUGGCUUCUCAUCCCAGAGUCUGGAUCUUAGCCCACACAGUUUAAUAGAUGCCGGUUGAGUUAUUGCACCGUAUAUUCAGCGUUUGACGGUUGAACAUCAGAACCAGGUCAUGCUUUAGGUUGGAGGUGGCCCUCACAAUGCAAAUACAAAUAAAAGUUAUUAUUAUUGUAAAAAAUGAUGCAUUUUUACUUAAAAAUACAUCAUUUAAAACUUGCAUGCCUCUCCUGAACUGGAGUCAGAAACCGGCCCAUCAGCAGACUUAAAAGUCUGGGUUCAUUAGUUGCUAAGUAACGAUCUUAAGCAUCCCAGGCUUGAUGAUCACAGCUCAUUGAUCGUCGUUUCUCUCAGUCUACACCUGAUAUUGAUCAUAUCGCACAUGUGCACAAACACAGUACCGGCUGCAGCCUCAUACUAACACUCAAUAGGAAGGAUUUGAUUACUGAUUAUUGGUUCAGCUGCAUAUACCUACUUUUGUCCAUGUUUGUAUGCAUUAAAAUGUCCUCUCGUGCUGUGUGGUAGCCAGUGUUUGCAAGAAAUGAGUGAAAUGCCUAACUUCCAAAAGGUUCUCUUUUCUACUUGUCUGUCUUGUAAAUUAGGGCUGAGCACUUCCUCUGCUUAUGUACUGUCAGGGCUUGCUGAGCUUACGGUAAUGAUUAUGGGUAAUUCUGUGCUGGCAAUCACUGAUGUAGUCAUAAUCACAGUAAAGAAAGCCCCUGGGGGGUUAUAACCAGAAUAAGAACUCUCCCCUCUGUUAUUUCCUUAUGCUCUGCAGAAAAUGUGCUCAUAAAUGGAGAAGCCUGAGAAUUUUCUUCAGUCCGAUUCAGGUUUUUCCAGAACCGCACCAGUAAUGGUGUGUUGGCUUUGUUCAGUUUUGCUCUUUUUACUGUCUUGCAACAGGUCUGUACUGUCACGAUGUGUGGCUGGAGAUGGUGGACCAUGUGUGGUGGUGGGUUCCGGAGGCAGAAGAGCAGGCACGGAGAACGUAAAAAAGAAUUUAAUUACAGAACGGGAACGGCAGGAACAAACACAACGGUGACAACAAAUAACAAUGAUCUGACGAAGGAACAGGAGCAAAACAUGUGGUAGAAAUACACGAGGCUGAUUGGGAACACAUGGGCAGGUUAACGAGGGACAGGUGAAAACAAUCUGGACUAAUCGGGGCAGGAGAGAGACACACAGGCUGUGUCUCAAUUCAGGGUCUGCAUCCUACGUCGGCCGGAUUCGUCGGCCGGUUACGUCACAGCGCCGCGACUAGGCCUGUCCCAAUUCGAAGACUCCUUCAAAUGCGGUCGACGAAUGCGGCCUUCUUUUCGCCUGAAUGAAGGAUGGGUCGGGUGUAUCCUUCAACAGGUAGCAUUUCCCAAGAUGCCUUGUGAGCCGGCCAGCAGAAAAACUUAAAAACAAUGGCGGACAGUGAAGAGGGAGCUGUCGGAGAGGAUUGCGCAUAUAAAUGUCAGUAUAAACUUUAAAACUGUUAGGUUAAGGACUUUUUGUGAUACAUGAACAUUAUUUUAGUUAGAAAUGUUACAGUAAAAGUGCUUGUAUUGCGGUCUCGGCUCGUAUGUUCGGCCGCUCGGUGUCGUACUUCUCCCGCUACGUUUCCCCCUGAUUUUAAUAGAAGUUUGUAUUUUAGGAACAAAAGAGAAAACCAGGGAAGUUAUUAAGCUUAGGGCGGAGAUGGACCACAUGAUCACCGGAGCAAAGUAUUCGGCGGCUGUGGCAUGGAGACUAUUCUGGAGAAAAUGGGCAUCCAGGGGAAGGUGCCAGCGAUGACCAGCUUCUGGAGCUGAUCAGGGAGGACAUGAGGCUGCAGAGGGCCCAGGAGAGAAGGAAGGACUUUGACAGCUUUUUACUUUGCUAGAAAAAAAAUGGUUAAGGAAGAUUAAACAUGUACAUAUAAAAGAAAUAUCUAAAUAAAAUCAGUUCUGCAUUAAACUCUUGAAUUUUAUUUUUGUUUACAAAUGAGAAUUGUUUACUAGAGGGUAUCCGCUGGGUCUUGAAAUGUCUUAAAAGGUGAUAAAUCGGUUUUGGUCAAAUUAAGACCCUUAGAAAGUAUUAAAAACUAUUAUCACAUCUUUGCUCAGGCUCAGCUUGUCUAAAGUAUUUUCUCUGAAUUAGCUCUCCAACAGUCAAGGAAAUGAUUAACCCCCAGAGACCCACGGUUGUAAUAUUACAACAUCAGAUUUAAGUCUACAAAAAUAAACCUUCCCCAUUUUUUUCUUUUUAAAACCACAUUUACAUUGCUAAUAGGUCCUAUUGUUCAGUUCUGCAACACUAUUGGCUGUUAAAAUGUGUAAAUAGGCCCAUUUAUCUGGCCUCCUAGAACAACAUGUGAAAGGUUAAAAAAAGAUUUUGCAGUUGUUUUCUAAAUUUGGGUCUCUGGGGGUUAAAAAGCUAAAUAAAACGUCGAGCUCCAUCGUUUAAAGUUCCUUCUCCCUUCUGCCCAGCGGUUCCACGGUUGCUAGGCGACGGAACGUUCGCGGAGGGAGUUCAUGAAGGCUAGGCCUGUCCAAAUUCACAGCCGUUAACAUCCGGUCUACCCGGCCGACGGAGGACCCAGCCCACGUCGGCCGGGUGGGCUGGGUCCUUCGAAGGAUGCAGACCCUGAAUUGAGACACAGCCACAGUCAAGAGGGAAGGGGCAGAUCGUGACAUGUACAUUUCUGAGAAAUAAUAAACUUAAGUUAGUUUCACUUUUACUCAAUUUUAAUUUGAAGACAAUGUCACUCUACAUAAACUUCCUACAGCUCUGACGCUCCUUCCUAACCACCAAUGCUGUUCAGAAACAUUGUUUUCUAUUUUAGUAACUUUAGCCGUUGUUUGUAGACUGUUAGUAAUGCUAAGUAUAGUUAUUGAUCGUAUUGAAGUUUACCAAAGAAUGAUCGGACAUCAAAACUGCAUUUAUAAGAGACUGGUUUCUCUUGUCUAACACCAUGAUCUGUUUUUUUAAUAUGCAAAAAUAUGAAUUGUGUUAAUUAAGAGCAAUAUUUCAGACCCUGAAUGAGUUGAACUAAUUUUAUUGAGCGGAGAACCUCUCACACCAGUGAUGUUCUGUGGCUAAAUACGUAAGUAUGUAAUGAGUGGAGGAGCCAGGGAAGUGCAGCGGUUCAGUGAGACCUUCAACUGGAUGGUCCAAUAGUUGCUUUAGGUCCGAAACAUGUUAUUGAUGGACAUUUUUAGACAUAUGCGAGAGAGCCACUUCAUUUAUUUCUUUUGUCUUCACAAAAUAAUGUUGUUGUUGAGAGGCAUUAAAAUGUGUUAAGCUAAUUUGUUUUCCAGACUUGCUAUUGCAGCACAUAAACUCCAUUUGUAAUUAAGGUCAGACAUUUUGUUUUUUCAUAGUCCUAUAGCAAUUUUGAACUUGCCAUUAAAGAAAUUUAAGACAAAAUCCCUGUAUUUUCAUAUAUAACCUGUAACUGAAGUGAAGAGAGGGCUGCACAGUGCUGCAGUGGUUAGCACUGUUGCCUUGCAGCAAGGAGGCCCUGGGUUUGCAUCCCAACCUGGGGUCUCUCUGUAUGGAGUUUGCACGUUCUCCCAAGUGUGGAUUAUCUCUUGGUACUCUGGCUUCCUACCACAGUCCAAAAACUGCCCUUAAGGGUGAGUGUGUGAUUGUUUGUCCUGUGUAUCUCUGUGUUGCCCUGUGAUGGACUGGCAAUCUGUCCAGGGUGUACCCCGCCUGUUUGCCCAAUGACAGCUGGAGAUGGGCACUAGCCCCUCACAACCCUGCAUGGAUAAGCAGGUACAGACAAUGGAUGGAUGAAGUGAUGAGAUCAACAGAAAAUACAAAGUUCUUCUGAUUGGCUGGUUGAGGUCACUGUGGCAACCACUUGUGGCCCGUUAAAGCUGCCAUGAUAAUCACCAUUGUUUCAUUAGGGUCAUUAUGGUAAUUACCAGUGGUACAUGAACAUUGCCUUGGUAACCACCAGUGGCUUUUUGAAGUCUAAUGUUAAGAGUUUAUGUGGAAACUGUUUGCAGUUUUUGUGCAAAUUUCAUCUAUUGUAAUGUAGAGCUACCAAAGGUCAUAGCACGUAAUUCCCAAUGGAGAUACUUGUUUUGCAUGAGAUAUUCAAAAGCUGCAGAAGGAUAAGCUAACUAGAGAUCUUGAAAAAACAA
Molecule: non-coding RNA, 6196 nt
Organism: Nothobranchius furzeri (turquoise killifish)
Lineage: Eukaryota; Metazoa; Chordata; Actinopteri; Cyprinodontiformes; Nothobranchiidae
Source: RefSeq, a predicted model, not a curated record